This 1723-nucleotide long non-coding RNA is filed under the name Pectinophora gossypiella (pink bollworm). Its description in RNAcentral is "uncharacterized LOC126377783". Lineage: Eukaryota; Metazoa; Arthropoda; Insecta; Lepidoptera; Gelechiidae. The record is from RNAcentral.
CCUUGUUUCGUCCAGUGCUUCCCCCACUUUCCACUCUUUCUAAUCGCCACUAAUCGGUCAAUUAUUGUCUGUCUGUUGCAAAAGUGCGAAAUAUCGCGCAAAGGUACAUAUUGUAUCUAUCUUUUUUGUAUCUUAAUUUUCUUUAAUCAGAAGUUAUGAUUAGGUCAACUUGAAAUUGUAUUCACGUACAGUAGUCAUUUUAGUGUGAAGUACUUAUUUGAUACUUGUAUCAUUUCACUGUCCAAAGGUGAAGUCGCCGGGUUGCUGUUUGAACUCGCUGAACAACAGAAGAAAUCAGCCAAGUCUGUUUCUACACCUGCUACCUGCUCUAACACCAGUCACGUGGCAGUAAGCGGAAGACAUGAAGCAAGAUUCAGGGAUAGCACGUGGUCAUUGUAAUUGCGUGGGCAGGGAUCAUGUAAAGUUGACAGCGUGGUCACGUGGGCGCCUCACAAAGGAUUCGGAUCAUGACAUGUGCUUAAGAUUGUACUUCGUAAGCUGAAGGUGUGAAUGUCGGAGGUCAUAUCAAGGUCACUAGCCGGGCGCUCUAGGGCGCGUCUUAAAUGAUGGAUUUGAUCCAUCAUAUCUUCAGACACAACUGCUGACUGUGUCUUCAGCCAUGAUAUUCUUAAGAUUGUGCUUGGUAAGCUGAAGACGGAAAUGUCGUCGGAGGUCAUAUCAAGGUCACUGCGCGGGUGCUCAUGGACGCGUCAUAAAUGAUGGUUUUGAUGCAUCAUAUCUGCAGAGACAACUGGUGACUAUGGCUUCAACCAUGAUAUUUUAAAGAACACUUGUGCUGACAGCGAGUCACGGUCUGUUCAUUCUUCAGAUGGUCAUCAAGUCACUGGUCCACCGCAAGUUGCAGCUAUAAGACGGAGAAUAAAGAAUAAUACGUCGUAUAGAACGGACGGACACCGUAGACGUGGUAGACCCCGGAAACGAUGGCGCGAUGAUCUCGACGGUUAUCGAAAAGACUGGAUAGAGCUCGCACAAAACCGGGAUACUUGGAAAGAUAUGGGGGAGGCCUUUGCUCAGCAGUUGGAUCAUAUAGGCUAAUAAUAAUAAUAAUUGUGGCGAGCUGUUGGUGAGUGACGACACCACGGAGCUGAGAUCCCCGAGAGUCGGUCAGGAGCUCCGUCUCCGGCUUGCCUUCACUGGCCGGCCGGAGUGAACCCCAGCGGGGGCCGCAGGACUCUCACCUCUGGCUUGCCUUCAUUGGCCGGCCAGAGUGGGGCGUUAGAGCUAUACGCUCGCAGGGUGGAAGUGAAAGAUGCAUAAGUCGCGAGUUGGUGAGGCGGGUAAACCGCCUCGCAGAAAGCGGUGUACACCUCGAGAGCGACACCCUGAGCUGCUCACGGCCAUGUUGCUGCCUUGCCGUCCAGUCGCGUCGGCUAGAUAGGUGGCCCAUCCAGUGAGUGACGAGUCACCGUCUGCUCAUUAUAUCCAUGUUACCAACAUUGGUCGAGCAGGCGUCAUAGUCCCCCAUAGCUCCAGUAUCCCGGUCCACUAACCCCCAACCCAAUAGCCCAGUUCCCUUUGUUCCCAUAAUCUGUCCUACACGAACCGGGGAUUGUCUUUGGGUGCACUCCCAUAGUGCAUACAGGGAUAAUCGCCGGUUGGUGUCACACAACAUUUAGAUUAAAUUGUCUUAAGGGGCCUCUACGUGUUGGCUUCGGCCCCACGCACGCCUUCCAAAAGUCCGGGGACACAAAUUUUACCACUU